This 481-nucleotide ribosomal RNA is filed under the name Chlamydomonadaceae sp. Sim12.4a. RNAcentral's name for it is "SSU rRNA". It matches the Rfam family "Eukaryotic small subunit ribosomal RNA", at positions 628 to 1116 of the family's 1831-position model. The record is from RNAcentral. Lineage: Eukaryota; Viridiplantae; Chlorophyta; Chlorophyceae; Chlamydomonadales; Chlamydomonadaceae.
UCGUAGUUGGAUUUCGGGUGGGUUGGCGCGAGUCCGCCUCUGGUGUGCACUGCGCCGGUCCACCUUCCAGCCGGGGACGGGCUCCUGGGCUUAACUGUCUGGGACUCGGAGUCGGCGAUGUUACUUUGAGUAAAUUAGAGUGUUCAAAGCAAGCCUACGCUCUGAAUAUGUUAGCAUGGAAUAACGCGAUAGGACUCUGGCCUAUCCGUUGGUCUGUGGGACCGGAGUAAUGAUUAAGAGGAACAGUCGGGGGCAUUCGUAUUCCGUUGUCAGAGGUGAAAUUCUUGGAUUUACGGAAGACGAACUUCUGCGAAAGCAUUUGCCAAGGAUGUUUUCAUUAAUCAAGAACGAAAGUUGGGGGCUCGAAGACGAUUAGAUACCGUCGUAGUCUCAACCAUAAACGAUGCCGACUAGGGAUCGGCGGGUGUUCUAUUGAUGACCCCGCCGGCACCUUAUGAGAAAUCAAAGUUUUUGGGUUCCG